CAGUAGCCGCGGUAAUACGUAGGGUGCAAGCGUUAGUCGGAAUUACUGGGCGUAAAGCGUGCGCAGGCGGUCCGCUAAGACAGAUGUGAAAUCCCCGGGCUUAACCUGGGAACUGCAUUUGUGACUGGCGGGCUAGAGUAUGGCAGAGGGGGGUAGAAUUCAACGUGUAGCAGUGAAAUGCGUAGAGAUGUGGAGGAAUACCGAUGGCGAAGGCAGCCCCCUGGGCCAAUACUGACGCUCAUGCACGAAAGCGUGGGGAGCGAACAGGAUUAGAUACCCCCGUAGUCCCUGUCUCUUAUAC
RNAcentral lists this ribosomal RNA (301 nucleotides) under uncultured bacterium. Its description in RNAcentral is "partial 16S ribosomal RNA". It matches the Rfam family "Bacterial small subunit ribosomal RNA", at positions 509 to 807 of the family's 1533-position model. The record is from RNAcentral.